GUGCUCGCUUUGGCAGCACAUAUACUAAAAUUGGAACGAUACAGAGAAGAUUAGCUUGGCCCGUGCGCAAGGAUGACACGCAAAUUCGUGUAGCGUUCCAUAUUUUG
Molecule: small nuclear RNA, 107 nt
Filed under: Sorex araneus (European shrew)
Lineage: Eukaryota; Metazoa; Chordata; Mammalia; Eulipotyphla; Soricidae
Source: RNAcentral